Triticum aestivum (bread wheat) is the source of this 3322-nucleotide long non-coding RNA. RefSeq lists it as uncharacterized. The transcript is spliced from 3 exons. The record is from RefSeq and is a predicted model, not a curated record. NCBI's taxonomy places the organism in Eukaryota, Viridiplantae, Streptophyta, Magnoliopsida, Poales, Poaceae.
GUGUCCCCCUUCCUUCCCAUACAGAGUCGCCAGUCGCCAUAGCCAACCUCUCUCUCUCUCUCUCCUCCCCUCAACGAACCCUAGAAGAAACCUUAACAAAAUCCACAGCCGCCUUCCCCUUCCCACAUCAGCAGGUGAGAUGCACUUUCUUCUACGCAUAGCUGGGUAGGGUAGAAUCUCACACAUUCUUUUACUUACUACAAAGAAUGCCAGAUCUGUUUUUUUUUAUUUUAUGAACAAUGCCCGAUCCGUUAGGUUUGGUAGAUUUCUGAAUCAUGUAGUAGUAGAUUUCUCCUUCUAUGAGUAGAAUCUCAUUCUCACGCACCUGGUUCUCUCUCACAAGGCAGAUUUCAUUUCCCCACUUGCACUCCGUGAGUCUACAUGUUCUAGCUUCUCCAAUCUUUUUUAUUAACCAAGUUAUUACUGCUGCUUAAUCAGCCACGCACUAACCCAUUCUAAGGCAAGAUAAGUUGGUGGCUCCUCUGCUCUCGAAUCCCUUCCAAAUUAUGAAGUAAUCAAUCUCCUAAUUGUAAUAUCACAUAAGUUUACUGUAGGAAAUGUCUUGGAAUCCUGGAUCUGUAUGUGUUUGAUUAAUUGGCUGCCAGAAAUCUUGUGCAAAGCAGUCACUUAGGUCGGUGGUCAAAAAUUGCUCUGUUUCAUGACCCACACAAUUUAGGGACUGGUCGUUAUAAUUAUGAAAAGAACUAAUCACUUCUGUUGCCUAGCAAGCACAAGCGAAGUGGAGUCCCUAUAUUUUCAUUAGUUCUUCUUUGAAGGAAGCAGAUCCAUAAAACAAACACAUUCAAACCGUUAGGGAGACAGUAACUUCAGUAACUAGCUAGUAGGCGCUGUCUGUAGGAUAUGAUUUAGUUGUCCCAUAUCGUCAAUUCAAUAGCGGCAGGCAGAUAAUAUCUAAAUCUGUCAUAAGACUUAAUGCAAGGAAAAUUCAAUAAGCUUCUGAAUAUGCUUUGAUUCACUCACAAGCCCUGGCUUUUCGUAAGCUCAUAGGCAUAUGCAUUCACUCACCGGGUUUUGAUAAGUUUGUUUGCACUGUCUGUGCUGUACCACUUUUUAUCCAUAGCCUUCAACUAGUAAAGUCGGGCUGAUAGGUGGUCAUAGGACUUAAAGCAAGGUAAAUUCAGUAAGCUUCUGAAUAGGCUUUGAUUCCACUCAUAAGCCCUGGAUUUUCGUACAAGCUCAUAGGCACAUGCAUUCACUCACCGGGUUUUGAUAAGUUUGCUUGCACUGUCUGUGCUGACCACUUUUUAUCCAUAGCCUUCUCCGCUUGCCUCUUUCCUUUCAAAAAUAGAACUCAUCUGAACUGACUAACUAAGAAAGCAAAACCUGCUUUAUAUUGAUGAUGCAACAUGGUUAAUCUACAUGUUAACGAGUCGCUGGGGCCUUAAUCAACCAUGGGCUAACCCUUUCCAAAGACGCGUUGAAAUCCAGGAUCUGUUAGCUUGGUGUGCAGCAUUGUUGCAUCAAACAAUAAUUACGUGUUGUUGUUGGAACUAAUCCUUUCUGUUGCCUCAUGUGAACGAACCAGCUAAACAAGUACUAUAUUGAUUCAUGCGACAUGGGUACUGUCGAUAUCGUUGAGUUCGCUGGGGCCUUAAUUAAGGACAGUAUAACCGCACCUAAAGCGAGCCCUCACAGUGAUUUGGGUUUUCAGCCGUCCGUCUUCAUGAUCAGGAUGUUUCUGGUCGUUGGAUCUUCGUGUCAAGCGAUCUGACCUGCAUGUGGUAAAUACUGGGCCUACUGUCCUAUGGGCAGCUACUCCACAGGCCGAAACGGCGCCCUGUGGUUAACUGGGCCGUAGGCCAGCCCAUUCCCGGUGAUCGUUCGUUUCCUCCCGUUCCACCAUCACCUCUCGUCCCACUCGUUCGAUUCGCAGCCCCAUCUAUCCUCCUUCUUUCACCCACGACACAGGCGGCGCCGCCACCAUACUCAUGGCGCAGUCAGCGGAGGAACUAAUCCAGCCAAGGCGCCACGAGGGGAUCUAGUGGACGCGCUCCAACUGUGGCUCCACGAGGGGAUCGGCGAGGGGAUCCGGCGCGGGGGGAUAGGCGGGCGGACCCAUCCCUCCCGAGUAGUCCUACUGACCUCAACCUUGGGCGGAUUCUAGGUCCGUCGCCGCCACCGGAUCGUAGGUCCUCCACCCCGAGGUUUCUCCCUACCCCGCCCCUUUUCUCCACACCGAUGGAAAUCCUAGCCCAAUCGCUGCCUGCUGUUCGAAUCGCCAACGGGGAAGAAAGGCAGUCUUUACUCGCACAUGCUGGUCGACUGUUAGAUUAGGGGAGAAGACCAACUACAGGCAGUCAUGUGGGUGUUCUCCAGUUCAUAGAAAUAUAUCCAUUAUUUUCCUGUUGCACUGCACAUUCUCCAACUCCUUGUUAUUUGUGCACAUCGAGUUCCUAUUCAUGACUUGGAACAACCAGUAGACUCUGCUCAGUUCUUUUCUACAAUAAUGCGAGGUUGAUGAUGAGUUCUGCAUGAAACAAAGCUAAUUGGUGUUCAGCAAGGUUCUGGUCAAAUGAUUCAGGCCAAUAUUGUGGCUGGUUCUCGUAUUUUGGUUCAAGGAAUUUUUCAAUCUACAACGGCUGCUAGCCAGGUUCAGGUAGCUGGAGCCUGACACUCUUCGCCCUCAAGAACCACUUCGGUGCCGCCGCGGCCGGCAGCGACAACUUCAGCAGCCUCUUCUCUGCCGGCACCGCCGACCAGCUCGCCCUCGAGUUCCCCCCUUCAACAACUUUGAUGGGUUCUAGAAGGCGACCGAGGAGAUGGUGAACAACAAGAAGAGGACGACCACACUCUCCUUCAUCUUCGACAAAGGCGUCAUCGUCGCCGCUGAUUCUCGGGCCAGCAAUGGGAAUACUGCUUCUCUUUUACCAUGGCAUCAUGCAAGUCUCUUGUAUUAUAGUAUUUGCACUAUGCACAUCCUGUAUAAACUGUGUUAGUGAGAAUGCUUCACACAUAGAUAGAAUGCUUAUUAUUAGGUGGCGGUUCAGUUAGUUUAAAGGUGAAUGGUGUAUAAGAGGCUCACUUGCUGGUUGGUACUUCCUCCGUUCGAAAAUAGAUGACUCAACUUUGUACUAACUUUAGUACAAAGUUAGUAUAAAGUUGGGUCAUCUAUUUUGGAACGGAGGGAGUACAUCGUAAUUUUAUUUCUUCCAGUAAGAGAUCUUUGACAAUUGUCAAAUUCUGUUCCGUACUUACAUAUGUAAGAGGCAGCAAUGUUUCUUGUAUUAUAGUAUUUGAACUAUACACAUCCUGUAUAAACUGUUUUAAUGGGAAUUCUUUCUUCAAAUUAUCUACAAGCUCC